Molecule: RNA transcript, 1823 nt
Organism: Pomacea canaliculata
Lineage: Eukaryota; Metazoa; Mollusca; Gastropoda; Architaenioglossa; Ampullariidae
Exons: 8
Source: RefSeq, a predicted model, not a curated record
GCUCAAAAUUUGAAGGAUGGAGUACACAUCCACACUGCAAGACAGGCUACUACUAGGCGAAAUGAUUAUAUCGAUUUCUUUGUCUUCCUUACACCUGAGGCUGUAAAUCUAAGACCAUCAAAUGUCGCGAACCAUGGUUACCUAACACCUUCUAGCACUGUGGGAGACAAAUGGAUGCUACCAUGUUAAAAGUAGAACCAGAAGACAAUGCUGGAUGCAUGUUUGAUUAUGAGCAGUCAAACAAGAAAAGGCAAAAAUCCUCAGAGAAAGCUCAUAAGAGUAAUAAGAAAGUGAAGAAAGAGCCUUCAUCAUCAAAAGCUAAAGCAGGAGCAAAUAACAGACCAUAUGUCUGUGGUAAAGCCAAAAAGGAAAAUCAACCGCUUUAAUGGUAUGCCAGAGGAGGAAGUGAUACUCAAGACACUACCCGACCACCUUGUACCAGGACUUGAUAUUGUAAUAGUGGGGAUAAAUCCAGGGCUCAUGGCGGCUUAUAUUGGGCAUCAUUAUGCUGGCCCUGGCAAUCAUUUCUGGAAAUGCCUUUAUCUGUCAGGAUUGGUGCCAGAGCCAAUGAACUGCUAUGAUGAUUCUAAACUGAAAGAGUUUGGCAUCGGUUUUACCAACAUCUGUUCCUCGUACAACUCGAGGCAGCGCAGACUUAACAAAGCCAGAAAUUAAAGAAGGAGCUGAAAUUCUGAAGGGAAAACUGAAAAAAUACAACCCCAAAAUUGCAGUUUUUAAUGGGAAAGGCAUCUACGAGAUAUUUUCUGGGAGCAAAAAGAUUUAUUUUGGCAAGCAGCCAGAAAUGAUUGAGGGGACUAACACAAUUGCUUUUGUAAUGCCAUCAUCCAGUGCAAGAUGUGCCCAAUUGCCACGUGCUGCUGACAAAGUCCCAUUCUAUGAUGCAUUACGAAAACUUCGUGAUCAUCUGUUGGGUCGUAUUGCUCACCUAGAUGAUUCAGAAGUGACCUUCCCCAAUCUUGAACUAAAAUGCAAAAAGGAAGAGCCAGAUUUUGAGCAGAACACUGACGAUGACCAGAUAGGGCUCACUGCUCCUUUAAGAAUGAAAACUAGCUCUGAUCAGACAGGCAGCAAGGCUGCUUGUUAUCAGCAGGAACAAUGCCAUGCCAUGGACAAUGAACAGUUCCUGAACAUGUUAGAGAUGCACCAGCAUCAACAGCAAGAAAUGAUGGGUGUAUCACAAGCAUUUCCUGUUACCACGGCCUGUGGACAUGUGCAAUACUCGCCUUCUUUGCUGAGCGCUUCAGAAGACAUUUGGCAGUAUCCAUGUACUUCUGUUCCUUCCUCCUACUCUUCUACCUCAAGAAUAAACCCUAAUGGCAGCUUGCCCAUGCAUGGAAUCACCUCCCAGCAGUUUGGGCAGAGCACUUCUGCAGUCAUGGACCUCAGGGAAACUUACAAUCACCAGCAACAUGAUUCACAAAACAUCUUUGCUACCUCCCGACAGCAGAGUAUUCAAAUUAAGAGCGAGCCAUGUGACUAUGAAGUAAUGCAUGGAUAGAUUUCAUAACUGUACAUCUUCUGAAUAAAGUUUUACACUAGCUGUUGAUUUGAAUAUUGUGAAAAAAAAUUUAUCACAUUAUGAUUAUUAUGCAUGCCUACAUUUCAGCAGUUUUAUGGUAUUGUGUUCCUAUCAUGCAGCAACUUUGGCUCAGGUGAUUGUUUUUAAUAUUUUGUCAUUUACUAGCUAUUUAUAUAAUUUAUUUACUCAAGGAAGAUUGCUUAUAUGUAUACAGUACUGAAUAUGCUGUCAUUAUUUAUAAAGUCUCAUUUGCUGUGUAAGCAAAAUAAAGAAAACAACAUUA